RNAcentral lists this ribosomal RNA (207 nucleotides) under uncultured bacterium. Its description in RNAcentral is "partial 16S ribosomal RNA". It matches the Rfam family "Bacterial small subunit ribosomal RNA", at positions 568 to 774 of the family's 1533-position model. The record is from RNAcentral.
CGCGUAGGCGGCUUGGUAAGUCGAUUGUGAAAUCCCCGGGCUCAACCUGGGAAUUGCAGUCGAGACUGCUUGGCUAGAGUGUGGGAGAGGGUGGUGGAAUUCCCGGUGUAGCGGUGAAAUGCGUAGAUAUCGGGAGGAACAUCAGUGGCGAAGGCGACCACCUGGCCCAACACUGACGCUGAGGUGCGAAAGCGUGGGUAGCAAACA